UCGGGGAUCGUCUAAUGGUAGGACAGCAGGUUCUGGUCCUGCUUAUCAAGGUUCGAAUCCUUGUCCCCGAGCCA
RNAcentral lists this transfer RNA (74 nucleotides) under Myxococcales bacterium. Its description in RNAcentral is "tRNA-Gln". It matches the Rfam family "tRNA". From Rfam's summary of the family: Transfer RNA (tRNA) molecules are approximately 80 nucleotides in length. Lineage: Bacteria; Pseudomonadati; Myxococcota; Myxococcia; Myxococcales. The record is from RNAcentral.